UACGAAGGGGGCGAGCGUUAUUCGGAAUCACUGGGCGUAAAGCGUGUGUAGGCGGACGCCUAAGUGUCUUGUGAAAUCCCACGGCUCACCCGUGGAACUGCUGGGCAUACUGGGCGUCUUGGGCCAACUAGGGGCAGCCGGAACAAGCGGUGGAGCGGUGAAAUGCGUAGAUAUCGCUUGGAACGCCGAAGGUGAAAACAGGCUGCUGGGGUUGCGCCGACGCUGAGACACGAAAGCCAGGGGAGCAAACGGG
RNAcentral lists this ribosomal RNA (253 nucleotides) under uncultured bacterium. RNAcentral's name for it is "partial 16S ribosomal RNA". It matches the Rfam family "Bacterial small subunit ribosomal RNA", at positions 524 to 776 of the family's 1533-position model. The record is from RNAcentral.